UACGGGGGGGGCAAGCGUUGUUCGGAAUUACUGGGCGUAAAGGGCGCGUAGGCGGCCAUCUAAGUCAGACGUGAAAUCCCUCGGCUCAACCGAGGAACUGCGUCUGAUACUGGAAGGCUUGAAUCCGGGAGAGGGAUGUGGAAUUCCAGGUGUAGCGGUGAAAUGCGUAGAUAUCGUAAGGAAGACCAGUGGCGAAGGCGGGUCUCUGGACAGUUCCUGACACUGAGGCACGAAGGCCAGGGGAGCAAACGGG
This 253-nucleotide ribosomal RNA is filed under the name uncultured bacterium. Its description in RNAcentral is "partial 16S ribosomal RNA". It matches the Rfam family "Bacterial small subunit ribosomal RNA", at positions 524 to 776 of the family's 1533-position model. The record is from RNAcentral.